GUGCCAGCCGCCGCGGUAAGACGAACCGUGCGAACGUUGUUCGGAUUCACUGGGCUUAAAGGGCGCGUAGGCGGGUGUCCGAGUCCGGGGUGAAAGCCCGCGGCCCAACCGCGGAAGUGCCUCGGAUACCGGACGCCUCGAGUGGGGUAGGGGCACGCGGAACUUCCGGUGGAGCGGUGAAAUGCGUAGAUAUCGGAAGGAACGCCGGUGGCGAAAGCGGCGUGCUGGACCCCUCCUGACGCUGAGGCGCGAAAGCCAGGGGAGCGAACGGGAUUAGAAACCCGCGUAGUCC
Molecule: ribosomal RNA, 292 nt
Filed under: uncultured bacterium
Lineage: Bacteria
Description: partial 16S ribosomal RNA
Rfam family: Bacterial small subunit ribosomal RNA
Source: RNAcentral